CUACGGGGGGCUCCAGUGGGGAAUAUUGCACAAUGGGCGCAAGCCUGAUGCAGCCAUGCCGCGUGUAUGAAGAAGGCCUUCGGGUUGUAAAGUACUUUCAGCGGGGAGGAAGGGAGUAAAGUUAAUACCUUUGCUCAUUGACGUUACCCGCAGAAGAAGCACCGGCUAACUCCGUGCCAGCAGCCGCGGUAAUACGGAGGGUGCAAGCGUUAAUCGGAAUUACUGGGCGUAAAGCGCACGCAGGCGGUUUGUUAAGUCAGAUGUGAAAUCCCCGGGCUCAACCUGGGAACUGCAUCUGAUACUGGCAAGCUGGAGUCUCGUAGAGGGGGGUAGAAUUCCAGGUGUAGCGGUGAAAUGCGUAGAGAUCUGGAGGAAUACCGGUGGCGAAGGCGGCCCCCUGGACGAAGACUGACGCUCAGGUGCGAAAGCGUGGGGAGCAAACAGGAUUAGAUACCUGGUAGUC
This 463-nucleotide ribosomal RNA is filed under the name uncultured bacterium. RNAcentral's name for it is "partial 16S ribosomal RNA". It matches the Rfam family "Bacterial small subunit ribosomal RNA", at positions 339 to 795 of the family's 1533-position model. The record is from RNAcentral.